AGAAUCAACGCUGGCGGCGUGCCUAACACAUGCAAGUCGAACGCGAAAGGGGAGCAAUCCCUGAUUAGAGUGGCAAACGGGUGAGUAACACGUGGGUGACCUGCCUUCGAGUGGGGGAUAACCUUCCGAAAGGAGGGCUAAUACCGCAUGACAUACCGUGUUUGGAUACACGGAUAUCAAAGCCGGGGAUCGCAAGACCUGGCGCUUGAAGAGGGGCCCGCGUCCGAUUAGCUAGUUGGUGGGGUAACGGCUCACCAAGGCUCCGAU
RNAcentral lists this ribosomal RNA (267 nucleotides) under uncultured soil bacterium. RNAcentral's name for it is "partial 16S ribosomal RNA". It matches the Rfam family "Bacterial small subunit ribosomal RNA", at positions 26 to 280 of the family's 1533-position model. The record is from RNAcentral.